AUACGGAGGAUGCGAGCGUUAUCCGGAUUUAUUGGGUUUAAAGGGAGCGUAGGUGGGAUAUUAAGUCAGCUGUGAAAGUUUGGGGCUCAACCUUAAAAUUGCAGUUGAUACUGGUUUCCUUGAGUACGGUACAGGUGGGCGGAAUUCGUGGUGUAGCGGUGAAAUGCAUAGAUAUCACGCAGAACUCCGAUUGCGAAGGCAGCUUACUAAGUUAUAACUGACACUGAAGCACGAAAGCGUGGGUAUCAAACAGGAUUAGAUACCCUGGUAGUCCACGCAGUAAACGAUGAUUACUAGCUGUUUGCGAUAUACAGUAAGCGGCCAAGCGAAAGCAUUAAGUAUUCCACCUGGGGAGUACGCCGGCAACGGUGAAACUCAAAUGAAUUGACGGGG
This 393-nucleotide ribosomal RNA is filed under the name uncultured bacterium. RNAcentral's name for it is "partial 16S ribosomal RNA". It matches the Rfam family "Bacterial small subunit ribosomal RNA", at positions 523 to 918 of the family's 1533-position model. The record is from RNAcentral.